Molecule: ribosomal RNA, 500 nt
Filed under: uncultured Lachnospiraceae bacterium
Lineage: Bacteria; Bacillati; Bacillota; Clostridia; Lachnospirales; Lachnospiraceae
Description: bacterial SSU rRNA
Rfam family: Bacterial small subunit ribosomal RNA
Source: RNAcentral
AGAGUUUGAUCCUGGCUCAGGAUGAACGCUGGCGGCGUGCCUAACACAUGCAAGUCGAGCGAAGCGAUUUUGAGGAAGUUUUCGGAUGGAAUCGAAAUUGACUUAGCGGCGGACGGGUGAGUAACACGUGGGUAAUCUGCCUUAUACAGGGGGAUAACAGUUAGAAAUGACUGCUAAUACCGCAUAAGCGCACGGGGACGCAUGUUUCUGUGUGAAAAACUCCGGUAGUAUAAGAUGAGCCCGCGUCUGAUUAGCUGGUUGGUGGGGUAACGGCCUACCAAGGCGACGAUCAGUAGCCGGCCUGAGAGGGUGAACGGCCACAUUGGGACUGAGACACGGCCCAAACUCCUACGGGAGGCAGCAGUGGGGAAUAUUGCACAAUGGGGGAAACCCUGAUGCAGCGACGCCGCGUGAGUGAAGAAGUAUUUCGGUAUGUAAAGCUAUAUCAGCAGGGAAGAAAAAAGACGGUACCUGACUAAGAAGCCCCGGCUAACUACGUG